UACGUAGGUGGCAAGCGUUAUCCGGAAUUAUUGGGCGUAAAGCGCGCGUAGGCGGUUUCUUAAGUCUGAUGUGAAAGCCCACGGCUCAACCGUGGAGGGUCAUUGGAAACUGGGAAACUUGAGUGCAGAAGAGGAAAGUGGAAUUCCAUGUGUAGCGGUGAAAUGCGCAGAGAUAUGGAGGAACACCAGUGGCGAAGGCGACUUUCUGGUCUGUAACUGACGCUGAUUUGCGAAAGCGUGGGGAUCAAA
Molecule: ribosomal RNA, 249 nt
Filed under: uncultured Staphylococcus sp.
Lineage: Bacteria; Bacillati; Bacillota; Bacilli; Caryophanales; Staphylococcaceae
Description: partial 16S ribosomal RNA
Rfam family: Bacterial small subunit ribosomal RNA
Source: RNAcentral